UCCUGGUGCCUGAUUGGUCUUCUCCUGCAAGCCAAUCAGUUGUUGCAUUCUAGGAUCCUACUUGCCUAUUGUUCUAGGAUCCAAGCUUAGUAUAUAACAGUCAGGCAAGUGAAGGGGUAGCUGCUUCCCCACCAUCUCCCGCACCACUGCUUCCCAGAACCAGAAGAGAAUUCAAGUGGGAAGGGCAAAGGCAGCUUCCUCUGUCUGCAUGGCACAGCCUGUCAGGGGGAGGUUCAUAAACUGGUGUUAAAGGUAAAGGUAAAGGGACCCCUGACCAUUAGGUCCAGUCGUUGCGGCGCUCAUCUCGCUUUACUGGCCAAGGGAGCUGGUGUACAGCUUCUGGGUCUUGUGGCCAGCAUGACUAAGCUGCUUCUGACAAACCAGAGCAGCACACGGAAACGCCGUUUACCUCCCCGCCGGAGCGGUACCUAUUUAUCUACUUGCACUGGCGUGCUUUCGAACUGCUAUGUUGGCAGGAGCAGGGACCGAGCGACGAGAGCUCACCCCGUCGCGGGGAUUCGAACCGCCGACCUUCUGAUCGGCAAGUCCUAGGCUCUGUGGUUUAACCCAUAGCGCCACCCGUGCCCCUAAAACUGGUGUUAUCUUUGACAAUAAAGAGUUUGUAUCUGCCAUGUGUGCUCCUUUGGCUGAGAAGCAUCCUCAAGAACUCCCUUGCCUCCCUUAGCGCCCCCCGCCUAGAUAUUCCCCCCACCAAGGGGUAGCACUGCCUGCUUUGGGAACCACCGCUCUAUUCCAAAACAAGCUUAAAACUCCAUUUAGUUCCCUCGGCAGUUAAGAGAACUGCUCUCAGGUACAGCUCUGAGAUUUCCAAAUUAAUUCAGGCAGCUUUGUGAAGCUAAGCCAGUUCUUUCCAAGCUGUGGCCGCAUGGGCGAAUGUCUUAUUUGUACCUUUCCUUACACAGGGGAAUUUCUCCCUGCAGGGAGAUGUUCAUUUUCUGCAAUGGCAUCAGUUGAUUCAAAACCAGGACAGACACCAUCAGAUUCCACCGGAGCAUUUUCCGAGUUUGACGUGAGGUCCUUAAACACUUCCUUUCCCUCCCUUCUGCAAAACUGGGCCAACAGCACCUGACAGCAGGGCCGUAUGCGGGUAUUUAUGACUCGGUGUUUGGUUGCUAUAGCAACAGAAGCCAGAUAAAUAUCUUGUCAGGAAGUGGAUGCAAGUGGUGGAAGACUUAUGCCUGGACGCCCUCGUCCCAUUAGCGGUGGCUUCGGAAAUAGCGGUGACUGACAGCCUGGAUCACAGAAUUGUCCCUGGAAACUGAGACAGAAAACAGUUUAAGUCCUGUUUGAUGACCCCGUGGAGGUUAAUGGGAUUCAGUUUGGGGCAGCCUCUCAGCUGUUGGUCUUGGACCAGGGGGUGUCUAAAGCAUCUGAGCAUCUGAAACUGUCCAUCGGUCCAUUUUAUCCCAAUAUUUCUGUGUCAGAUGGUGGCGACUCCUGGGGUGUCUUUGGGUGGAGAUGUGGGAUAUUACAGGUGUGGGGUUUCGCACCUGGGACCUUGUGAGUGAGAGCAACAUGUGAUCUACCAUUGGGCAGCCAUGACCUUGGUUUGACACUCUGCCAUAAAACAACCUACUGGUUCGUCUUACCUCCCUUUGUAGGUUGUUCUGUGGACAAAAGGAGCUAGCUGAGCUUGAAGACCUGCAAUGACACCGAAGCAAGGACGCUACAUCUUUCAACUCAGGUCUACGGCACGGAGCUGUAGAGUUGGAAUGGGUUCCCCAAGGGUCAUCCAGCCCAACCUCUGCAAUCCUGACUUGCUUAUUAUGCUGUCAGCAGUUAAUGGAUCCCGGUUUAACCACACUGAUGGGUUAGGUUGCCUGAGGCUGUUUGCCACCCUUGGCCACCGCGGGAACAUCGGCCUAAGCCCGCUCUCACCAGAAGAGAGUGGAGAAUGGAAGAACGCAAUGGGAAAGAACCAGAGGCAAGAUAGCUAUCAACUGGAGAACUUCCUUGCAAGCAAGACUCUUUGAUCGCUUACAUUCAAAGCAAGAGAUAAAAUGGAAAUAAAGCAAUGAGUAUUUACUCUUCCUUCGCGUUUCCUUUAAUGCUGUCUAAUUACGGCAGCUGACAACCAUCUUCCGUGGCGCAAUUAGCACUGCGUUCCACUCUGCUCAACUGAUUCCUCCCUG
Podarcis lilfordi (Lilford's wall lizard) is the source of this 2153-nucleotide non-coding RNA. Lineage: Eukaryota; Metazoa; Chordata; Lepidosauria; Squamata; Lacertidae. The record is from the annotation of a GenBank genome assembly.